RNAcentral lists this long non-coding RNA (829 nucleotides) under Gouania willdenowi (blunt-snouted clingfish). RNAcentral's name for it is "lncRNA (ENSGWIG00000020686.1)". The record is from RNAcentral. Lineage: Eukaryota; Metazoa; Chordata; Actinopteri; Blenniiformes; Gobiesocidae.
GCCAUCAUUGUACUCACGCAGGAUCUUGGGAGUGGUCUUAUGGUCUUUGUCUGAGAACAAAUGAUAUAAGGUCUCUAUCAAUACUAGUGGCUCUACAUUGUCAUCAUUGCAUCAUUGUACCACUAACAUUCUCAGAGUUAGAAAGCACAGUUGGAGUUAACAUGAGGGGAACUUUGGUGUUCCUUUUAGCAGUGUUUGGAUGCUGUUGUACAGUUAAAUGUGGAAUUGUGUCCAAAUGUGAACUGUGGAGCCUGAUGUCGAAGGAGGCCGAGCAAGCUGGGAUGACUGAGAACUUUGUAGCUAAGAUUGUUUGUCAUGCAGAGCUAGUAUCGGAUUUUAACACCAAUGCGGUGAAGGAACUGGUUUGUGAGACGAACCCUCAAGAACAAACGGAUCCACAGCAGCCUUCUCCCCAGCCCCACCUUCAACACAGCUGUGAGGACAGCGAGGAGAUGGGGACACUCUAUGGCCUUUUCCAGCUCAGCAGUAAACUCACCUGCAGUGAUGGAACUAAUCCAUCACCAAACAUCUGUAACAUUGACUGCGAAGAUUUGCUCGAUAACAACAUAGAUGAUGACUUUCAAUGUCUGCUGACAUUCUUCAGACAUCUUGUUAAAAAUGCCUUUGGAACAGCCGACUCAAAAGGAUUACAAAAAAUGUUUCAAUUCAUCAUGCAGGAAGAGUGCAGGAACGUGGAGUACUCUGAGUACUUCGCUGAAUGUUUGAGAAAUGAUUAAUUUUCUCCAUUACAUUUUAUUAAAACUUUUAUUUUACAUUUCCAGCCACAUCAAUAGCUAGAUAAAUAAAUUACCUAUUGAUGUAAAAAGCA